AUUGAACGCUGGCGGCAGGCUUAACACAUGCAAGUCGAGCGGGGUGAUGGUGCUUGCACUAUCACUUAGCGGCGGACGGGUGAGUAAUGCUUAGGAAUCUGCCUAUUAGUGGGGGACAACAUCUCGAAAGGGAUGCUAAUACCGCAUACGUCCUACGGGAGAAAGCAGGGGAUCACUUGUGACCUUGCGCUAAUAGAUGAGCCUAAGUCGGAUUAGCUAGUUGGUGGGGUAAAGGCCUACCAAGGCGACGAUCUGUAGCGGGUCUGAGAGGAUGAUCCGCCACACUGGAACUGAGACACGGCCCAGACUCCUCCGGGAAGCAGCAGUGGGGAAUAUUGGACAAUGGGGGGAACCCUGAUCCAGCCAUGCCGCGUGUGUGAAGAAGGCCUUAUGGUUGUAAAGCACUUUAAGCGAGGAGGAGGCUCUUUUGGUUAAUACCCAAGAUGAGUGGACGUUACUCGCAGAAUAAGCACCGGCUAACUCUGUGCCAGCCGCCGCAGUAA
Molecule: ribosomal RNA, 503 nt
Filed under: uncultured bacterium
Lineage: Bacteria
Description: partial 16S ribosomal RNA
Rfam family: Bacterial small subunit ribosomal RNA
Source: RNAcentral